UAGGGAAUCUUCCGCAAUGGACGCAAGUCUGACGGAGCAACGCCGCGUGAGUGAAGAAGGAUUUCGGUUCGUAAAACUCUGUUGUUAGAGAAGAACAGCGCAUAGAGUAACUGUUAUGCGUGUGACGGUAUCUAACCAGAAAGCCACGGCUAACUACGUGCCAGCAGCCGCGGUAAUACGUAGGUGGCAAGCGUUGUCCGGAUUUAUUGGGCGUAAAGCGAGCGCAGGCGGUCAAUUAAGUCUGAUGGGAAAGCCCCCGGCUCAACCGGGGAGGGUCAUUGGAAACUGGUUGACUGGAGUGCAGAAGAGGAGAGUGGAAUUCCAUGUGUAGCGGUGAAAUGCGUAGAUAUAUGGAGGAACACCAGUGGCGAAGGCGACUCUCUGGUCUGUAACUGACGCUGAGGUUCGAAAGCGUGGGUAGCAAACAGG
Molecule: ribosomal RNA, 429 nt
Filed under: Bacteroidota bacterium
Lineage: Bacteria; Pseudomonadati; Bacteroidota
Description: Bacteroidetes bacterium partial 16S ribosomal RNA
Rfam family: Bacterial small subunit ribosomal RNA
Source: RNAcentral